Molecule: transfer RNA, 74 nt
Filed under: Candidatus Hydrogenedentota bacterium
Lineage: Bacteria; Pseudomonadati; Candidatus Hydrogenedentota
Description: Candidatus Hydrogenedentes bacterium tRNA-Val
Rfam family: tRNA
About the family: Transfer RNA (tRNA) molecules are approximately 80 nucleotides in length.
Source: RNAcentral
GGGCGGAUAGCUCAGUUGGUCAGAGCGUCUGGUUUACACCCAGAAGGUCCCAGGUUCGAAUCCUGGUUCGCCCA